Alligator sinensis (Chinese alligator) is the source of this 185-nucleotide long non-coding RNA. RefSeq lists it as uncharacterized. The transcript has 3 exons. Lineage: Eukaryota; Metazoa; Chordata; Crocodylia; Alligatoridae. The record is from RefSeq and is a predicted model, not a curated record.
CCACCACCGAUGCCAGCCCCCGGCUCCCAGACCUGCCCCAUGAGAUGGAGAGAUUCGGGCUGCUGAACAAGACCAAGAUCGCGGAGGGUGGCCGGAAGCUCAGGAAGAGCUGGGGGGUCUCCUGGGUGGUGCUGGCUGGGAACAGCCUCAUCUUCUACAAGGACCCCAAGGCCCCGGCGCCAGCU